UUGAGCAGAAGAUCCUGGCAACAUGGUGCGCACCUAGGGAUUUAGGGAAGCCACUCUAGCACUCUGGCAUUGAUUAUCCUGGCAGGAGACAGAUGACAUCAGUUACUGGAGUUCCCUGCUACAAUGGAGAUACGGCCAAGGCAAAAGCAAGCAGCAGAGAUGAGCCAGGGAGGAGGAGAGAGGCUGCAUUUCAUGAUCCGGUCAAAACCAGCCAUGGCACCCAGACAAGGUGCUCUGCAGCUUUCAAAGUGCAUCACAUCCAUUAUCUUCUGUGACCCACAGACAGGUCAGCAAAGCUGGCUGGUGUGAGGUCACCAAGCCCCGUGCAGGUUGCUCCUCACAUACCUCUUGCAUCCACUCCUUCUUCUCCGUCGCAUGCCACUGCCCUUGUCAUCUCUCACGGGGCUGUUGCAAUAGCUUCCUGCCUGUUUCCCUGCUCCCAGCCUGCGCCCUCUGUCCCCUCUUGCUGCCUGAGUGAUCUUUCUGCACUGCAAAUUUGUUCAUCCUACACAGUAGGCUUAACAGCCUCCAACGGCCCCCAGCAGGUACAGAAUAAAGUCCCAACUCCUUUGCA
Molecule: long non-coding RNA, 574 nt
Organism: Pan troglodytes (chimpanzee)
Lineage: Eukaryota; Metazoa; Chordata; Mammalia; Primates; Hominidae
Exons: 2
Source: RefSeq, a predicted model, not a curated record